Molecule: long non-coding RNA, 310 nt
Organism: Mizuhopecten yessoensis (Yesso scallop)
Lineage: Eukaryota; Metazoa; Mollusca; Bivalvia; Pectinida; Pectinidae
Exons: 3
Source: RefSeq, a predicted model, not a curated record
ACAGUUAACAGAAGAAUCACGACUUCCGGUUUGGACUGUACCGAUUAGAUUCUUUUAGAAAUGCCUGUUGGAAACAUAGGGUAUGGCCAUAGUGGUCCAUCCUGCUUUGACAAGAUGAAGAUAGGAUUCCUGAUGGGCUUCUCUGUUGGGAUGGCAUCUGGUAUUUUAUUUGGUGGAUUUUCAGCUUUAAGAUAUGGUUUACGAGGGCGAGAGUUGGUACAGACAGUCGGAAAGACAAUGUUACAAGGUGGUGGGACGUUUGGGACAUUUAUGACAGUUGGCACGGCGAUACGUUGCUAGCCAAUCAUAC